GUAUGCGUCCUUGGAUUGCUGUUGCAUAUGAUGCUCGUUGCUACUGCAGUUUUCUUGAUCGACCCUAUUGAUUCUAUUAGUCAAGGAUGUUUCUCUGACGAUAUGCCUUUAGGAAUACAGAUGGUAUGCCUUUAGGAAUAUCUGGUACUUUCAACUUCAUGAUUGUAUUCCAGGCAGAACACAACAUCCUUAUGCAUCUAUUUCACAUGUUAGGUGUAGCUCUGGUGUAUUCGGCCCUAGUACUAUGCAUGGUUCCUUGGUCAACUCUUGUUUCAUCAGGGAAAUCACUGAAAACGAAUCCGCGUUAGCAAGUGACUGAUUCGGUAAAGAGGAAGAGACUUUACAAUAGAGCAUUGUAGUUGCUCAUGGUUAUUUAAGCCGAUUGAACUGCCAAUAUGCUAGUUUCAACAACUCGACUUCUUGACAUUUCUUCUUGGCUGCGUGGCCUGGCCGACAACAUCUUUCAACCGAACAAACAAGCUGCGCCGAUUCUCUCACACGUUUCACUCAGUAAGUGUUAGAAGCUACGUGGGCUAAGCAUUCUUUAUUCUAUUGUAGAUAACAAAAGCACCCAAUGAGAUUGUUAGAAUCCUUUUUCUGAGCUUUUGAAUAAUGUUUAUUGAGUCUGUUUAGUCCAGUUGUUUAUUGAGUCGGUUUGGUUCAGUUAGAGUCAAGUAGAGG
RNAcentral lists this long non-coding RNA (681 nucleotides) under Musa acuminata (dwarf banana). RNAcentral's name for it is "long non-coding RNA (MACU_LNC005670)". Lineage: Eukaryota; Viridiplantae; Streptophyta; Magnoliopsida; Zingiberales; Musaceae. The record is from RNAcentral.